CUCUACUGGGACAGAAGCUCUACUGGGACGGAAGUUCCUACGCUGGAGAGCAUCCCAAACUUUACCCUUUAUACCUUUUUAUCUGGCUGUCCAUCAGUAUCCUUUAUCAUAUCCUUUAUUAGAUCAUACACUGGAAAACAUGAGUGUUUCCUUGAGUUCUGUGGGCUGUUCAAGAAAAUGACUGAAUCCAAGGAGGGGAUCACGGAAACCUCUACUGCUUAGUCAAAUUGGACAGCAGUCACGGUGGGCAAGCUGGGUCAGGAGGCACAGAAUUUCAAGGCAGAGAAAUAAACGGGGGGACCACAGUGCCUUCCCCACCAGCAGGCCUCCCUUCUGCAGCAAGAGCAAACUGGUGAAGAAGGAGCUUCACAUUUAAAGCAGCUGUCAUUCUCUUCUGCAGAUAGGUGUGACCAUACAUCUGAGAUAUAUCCGAUGGGAAGGGAUUGUAAAUAAUAUGUGUCAUCUCAAGAAUUGCUCUAUAAAACUCUUCUCAUGUCCAAGCCUCCCUGAUGGUUACCCUUUUAAGAUAUGAUGAACUCAAGAUGGCAAACUAAUUAGCUACAUCUUGAAGAUGACAAACAAAACUAUAAGGUGGAAGGAACCUUGGGUCCCUGACUCAGUGUCGGGAAGAAUCACUUGCCAAUCUGAGACUGGUUGGUUUUGGUUUUGGACUUGACAUCUGUCAUAGGUAUCGGGUUACCUAAAUCCGAGCACUCAGGAUAAACUCUGAUUUCCGUGAUCCUCCCUGCACCCCCUUCCUCACCAGGGGAAUACUCAUUUAUUUCCACAAUGCUCUGCCCUCUUCCUGCACACAGGGUUUUCAUUCUCCAGGCUUGAAGCACCAAUUGUCUAAUUCGAUACAAAAAUUAUCCUGGAAAAGCAUAAGGUAAUUAUAAGCAUAAUUAUUCUGUGAAGCAGAAGAAGGAAAAAAAGGUGCUACUUUAACAGCUGUAAAACUUAGCACUUUGUCGUUUCUUGUGGCUACACAAUGCCAAACAUCCAGAUGCGACGUGAUCAUUCAAUCGGCUAGAUGCCUCCAAACUGGAAGAGUUUAGGAGCUGAUAAACAAAGCAGCCUGCCUGAGUGGCUUUUUCCCUUGCGCAUCUGGUUAUUUUGACACUAUCCAGGCAGAAACUUUAUCAUAACAUGACCAAAGACGAAUGUGUGGUACUUGGUCCAAUGACUGGAGGUGGGCACAAUGUGUACAAUUAUUCCCGUUUGUGUGAUUGCUCAACACUGCUCCUUCCAAUCUCUUAACAAAACUUGCACUACUUUACAAACAAAUUAAAAAGAGUGGUUACAUAUGUAAAACUUUUUUUAACUUGACAAAAGCACUUAAUCACCCUGGGGCAUUUUUGCAAGGAGGAGGGGUCUUCAAAAUUGUAUCCACAGCCACCUUGCCGUAAAAAACGAGGUGUCAUGUUUUGUUGGGAAAAGCUAGUUCUACUGUUAGGAAACUGAAAGAAUUCAUUUGUUCUUAUUUAUUCCGACUCCAACGUUCUGUUUGUCGGCAUUUAGACACAGGCUGAAUAAAGUAUAUCAUAUUUACAAUCAUAAUGGAUUUCAAACACACUCUUAGCCAAAGCUUUCAACAGGAAAAAAAAUGCAAUUUAAAAAACAAAUCAGCUUCGUCAAAAGACUGUUCUCUUUCCCCAGCUCAACCUCCCAGUCAUGGUACCCCGGCAAGACGCUUGGUCUUCGAGGGGAAGAAGGACUGGGACCAGGGCUACAGAGAGGAAGAGACAAGGACACCCGCAUUAAUGAAACCUAUCGUCAAAUGAUAUCUUCGAGGAUCAAAAUUCUAGUUUUAUAAUUUCAGAAAGAAGUAUACUCUGCCCCCAGUUUUGGGUGGGGCAGGCUGCCUUUAAGGAACUAUUUUGAUCUACUUUUGUUCAGCCAGUUGAACACUUAGGAGAGCUGAUUUUAUUGUCUCUCUAGCCAGUGAUGUACCUAGAUGAUGGUCAAAGAGGACUUUAACUUCCAGUAAUCUUAACCCUUUUAUGAGUGCAAAUUGAUCACUUAACAUUUUUUAAAAAGUCCAUUUGGUAUCUGACCUGUUAACCUUCAUAUGACGCCAUGACAUCUUAAAAUCGGAGAAACUAUUAGAAAAAUUAUGUCUUAAAUAUGGGCCUUUGUAUCUUUUACACAUUCUCUUCUCCAGUGGUUAUUACCUAAUAAUUUUUGACACUGGUGAUUAAACAUAAAGUUUUACAUUUUAUGAUUUUCUUUCAAACACACGAUUGCGAACAUAUAUAUCAAGGCAAAAAUUAAACAUUCUUCAAGAGUCUGCAAUUAUAUUUAUACAUUAAAAUGUCAACUGGGUGAAAUGAGUAACUUCAAACAAUAUUUUAAUCUCAUUGUUUUAAAACAAAACAAUUCAUCAAUGUUUUAUCAUCAGUCCUAAUAAUCUCACUUUUAAACAAUAGAAAGGGACACUGGUAGCCUUUUUUAAAAAUUAAUUUUAGUGGUGAUUAUGAUUAGAAAAAUUCAGUUAAUUAUUUGAUGUGUUCAUAACCGUAUCAUAUCUGAUUAGAGAGUAAUCUCCAAUCCUUACAACUUGAUUACUGCAACACUUAUUAUACUAUCAUUCAUUCCUGAAUCUUAGUUCUUGAGGUCCCUUCUAGAGGUUAGGUCAGUGCCGAAGUCUCCGUGCCUCAAACGAAAACCUUGACUUUAUAUUGUUGCGUACACGCUGGCAGUCUGCCUGUGCUCAAUUCUGAAACAGAAGGUAGAGAUCGUCCAAGAGAAAAGCCUUGUUUUGGACAGAGUAGGAAUUCUCUGAGCAAAGUUUAUCUUCCA
This is a long non-coding RNA of Herpailurus yagouaroundi (jaguarundi), 2799 nucleotides long. RefSeq lists it as uncharacterized. The transcript has 4 exons. The record is from RefSeq and is a predicted model, not a curated record. NCBI's taxonomy places the organism in Eukaryota, Metazoa, Chordata, Mammalia, Carnivora, Felidae.